UCUCUCUCUCUCUCUCUUCCCUUCGUUUCUUUCUGUGACGUGUGCCAAAACUUGUGACGCUUUUUAUCUGUUCUUCUCUUUCCUUUACAGAGAUGGCAACAAUAAUCCAGAAACAAGAACUUGAAGAAGAUGAUGAAACCAGGAACGUUGAUCUCAGUAUCGACGGUGCUGCAGGAGAACAUCCGGACAAGGUAGACCCUACCACCAACUCCACGUUGUCAACGGAGGAGGUUGCUCUAAAGGAAGAGCCUGACACAGUGGAGAGAUCACCUUCGCCUCUUGGUGCGAUGCCCGUCGCAGUCCACGUGCCACCAGCGAUCAGCAUGCCGUUGGUGGCUGCUCCACCCAAAAGACCUUCUACGAAGGACCGACACACCAAAGUGGAGGGUCGGGGCAGAAGAAUCCGAAUGCCCGCAACCUGUGCGGCUAGGAUCUUCCAGCUGACCAGGGAACUGGGCCAUAAAUCCGAUGGAGAGACCAUUAGGUGGUUACUUGAGCACGCGGAGCCAGCAAUUAUAGCCGCCACUGGAACCGGAACUGUUCCCGCUAUUGCCAUGUCUGUCAAUGGGACCCUCAAAAUCCCCACCACCUCUAACGCAAAUUCCGAACCCGGCGACCCAUCCGUUAAAAAGAAGCGUAAACGACCCGCAAAUAGCGAGUACAUUGACGUAAGCGACGCUGUCGUUUCAGUCUCCGCUCCUCUUGCCCCGAUACCGACAGCACCACCGCAACACGCAGCUGCAGUAGUUCCUCAGGGUUUAGUUCCUAUGUGGGCCAUACCGUCUAACGGUGUCGUUCCUGGCGCGUUCUUCAUGAUACCGCCCAUGGCGACAUCUACUGCGGGACCUUCUAACCAACCCCAGAUAUUCACGUUCCCAGCUGCGGCUACGCCUCUAAUCAACAUAUCGGCGAGGCCGAUAUCGUCUUUCGUAUCGUCCAUGCAACAAGCUGCCAAUAUAGCAGUAACUAUGCCCGUUUCGAGUUCUCCUGUUUCUGAUUCAAAGCCUGCGAAAGCUACGUCAGUUAUGGCGCCAAGUUCAAGUUCUGCUCCCAUUAGUAGUACUACUACAACAAGUACCACUACCACGCAAAUGCUUAGAGACUUUUCCUUGGAGAUUUAUGAUAAACGGGAGCUCCAAUUCAUGACUCGAUCUUCGAAGCAUUGACAACAUGGAAAACAAGAAAGUGUUUUUGUUGUUUUUUUCCUCAUCUGUUGGCUCUUUUCCUUCAUUGAUGACUUUAUUGGGGUCCAAUUUCUGGUCUAUUCGCCAUUAACGAGUUCAUUUGAGCUCGAAAAUUGCCUUCUCUGAUGGGGAGAGAGAGCACGUACUCACGCGAGGAUGGGCGCUAAUGGUGGGCACGUGUAAAGUGGAUCACGAUUAGGCAGGGUGUGGGGUCCACCGUUUGUGGUGUGCCAACACUCAACCGAAAAUGCAAAGGGCAAGACACUGAAGACUCAGCUCCCUGGACCGUGCAGUGCAAAAAUAUUAGUGUGUUCUUUUUAAAGAGUGGGGCAACCUCAUCGCUCUCUCAUGUGAUGGGGCGCGGGCCCCAAAAAGGGUGGGCUCUAAGGGACUGUUUCGACAUAGUUUACAGGGCGGCCGCGUGGUGGUACCUACCAGGUUGGUUUGGUGGUCCGGUCAGAGCAGUGGAAAAGUAAUACAUGGGCUGGAGAUGAGACACGUGUCCGACGUUAUCUGUAAAUCUGGGUCGUCUCUUUGUAUCUGACACGUUGGGUCCUUGUUUCGGUGGGCCUGAUUGUAGUUUCUUUUAAAAGGAAAACGGAAAGGUAAUGACUGAUAAGGAUCAUAUUGGAAUUGGAUGCCGCUGAUCUUUAUUUGUCUUGUAAUAUCAGAGAGUUACAACCAAAUAUAAAUGUACCCUGUAACAUAUUAUUUCUCCUCCGACUGAGCUUUAGUCCUUUGAAAUACAACAUCUCAUCUCAGUUCACGGCGUCUUUCGAGUUCGACAGUUUCAGCAGUUCGAGUGCCAUUGUGAAGUUUCUUGGUCGUAAAUUUACCGUCGUUCAAUGGGUCACGUAUCGGCGCUGCCGAUGGAGCUCUCUUUGCCCGAACAUCUCCUCCAACCAUUGUUAAGGGCUUCAAAAUCUUCUAACCUCAAAGAGGCAUUAGAAAUUCUUAUAGCAACUUCUAGAAUUGAUCAUGGCCGCGCUGAACUUGCUUCUAAGGAUAUUCUUCCUGCUGUUGUUCAGAUUAUACAGUCCAUGCCUUACCCUUCUGGACAUCAAUUCCUCACGCUCGCCUUAAAACUCCUCAGAAACCUCUGUGCGGGCGAAAUCACCAAUCAGAAACUUUUCAUCGAAUUGAAUGGACCAGGAAUGGUUUCAACUGUUUUGAAGUCUGCGGGGCUUGCUUCUGACCCAGAUCAUGGGAUAACCCGUAUGGGAUUGCAGGUUUUGGCAAACGUUUCUUUGGCUGGAGAAGAACAUCAGCAAUCUAUUUGGCAUUGCUUCUUUCCAAAUGAGUUUGUUGCGCUUGCAAAAGUCUCAAGUCGGGACACUCUUGAUCCUCUUUGUAUGAUUAUUUAUAAUUGUUGUGAUGGAAACCCUAGCCUGGUUGCAGAGCUCUCUGGGGAUCAAGGGUUGCCCAUUGUGGCUGAAGCUGUGAGGACUGCAUCUGCAGGUUUUUUUUUCCUUUUUAAAUUACACUCGUUUUUAAUAAUUUUUUUUUCCUCUUAUCGCCUUUCAUUUAGAUUGCAAUUGUUAGUUCUGAAUUGCUCUUUUGUCAGUUGGUUUUGGAGAAGAUUGGUGGAAGCUACUGCUAUCAAGGAUCUGCUUGGAGGAAGCCCACUUUCCGCAGCUCUUCUCUGGAUUAUGUAGUGUUGGUGAGUCUGAAAACAGUGAAGAUAUUAGUUCAAGUAGCGGCAAUUUUUCAAUGGAACAAGCUUAUCUUCUGCGUAUGGUAUCAGAGAUCUUGAAUGAACGCCUUGGCGAGAUAAUUUCUUCAAUUGAUUUUGGAUUGUAUAUAUUUGGAAUAUUUAAGAGAUCUCUUGGGGUCAUUGACUCGAGCUCAAAAGCCAAAUCUGGCCUUCCAGUAGGUUCUGCUGCAAUUGAUGUUCUUGGAUACUCGCUUACCAUUUUAAGAGACAUAUGUGCUCAGCACUGUAAGAACGGUCUUGGUGAACAUCAAAUGGAUGUCGUUGAUAAACUCUUUUCCUAUGGAUUUCUUGAAUUGCUUUUAUCUGUGCUUGGAGACCUUGAGCGCCCACCAAUUAUCAAGAAAGCCAUGAAACUGAACGAGGGCCAAGAUGCAGCUCCUUUGCGCUCAUUUAGACCUUGCCCUUACCAAGGAUUUCGGAGAGACAUUGUUGCGGUCAUUGGCAAUUGUGCAUUUCAAAGAAGUCGUGUGCAAGAUGACAUUAGGCAGAAGAAUGGAAUUCUUCUGAUGUUACAACAGUGUGUCACUGAUGAAGAUAACCCAUUUUUAAGGGAAUGGGGCAUCUGGUCUGUGAGGAACUUAUUGGAAGGGAAUGCAGAAAAUCAGCGAGCAGUAGCUGAAUUGGAGCUUCAAGGAUCUGUUGAAAUGCCCGAGCUUGCUGGACUUGGUCUCAGGGUGGAGGUGGAUCCAAACACUGGACGUGCAAUGCUUGUGAAUGUGUCAUGAAAGAUACAACCUUGUGCCCCUCGUAUGAGUCCAAUGGGCAUAUGCUUCCCUUCCACUUGUUGGUAUAUACUCUCUUUGGUCAGUAACUGGAGGGAUUCCUUAGAAAAUAGGCAUCUGAUAUUCUUUGGAGCGUUAUCUUCAUCCUUGUGAUUCUCAGAUUUUAUCAAACUUAAAAGACGCUAGAGGUCUUUUUUAAUGUGUAGCAAAUACUGUUCAGAAAGUUGUACAUAGGCUUAACAAGACGAGGGGCGUGUGGAUUAUUUGGGAUGAAUGAUAACUAACAUGAGAAGAACUUUCAUAGGGAUCUUUCGGUUCCAGAAUCAACGGGGUUCACUUUGCUAUUUUCUUGAAUUAGGAUAUAAAUUUUGCCUAGAGAUCUAAAAUUAUAAUUAUAGCUGCCAUUUGGGUCAGUUCGAGUGAAGUUGGAGGAGAUAAAUGAAGUUUUCUGAAACCAACUGUUUCAUGCUCUGGAUUUUUCUCAUAAUAAAGAUUGGUGAACUCCUUAGCACACCUGAAUGUCCUCGGAAGGAAAAGAGGUAAUUAGAAAAAUUUCUGCAAUGGUUCAAUGGUUUGUGGUGGUUCCAAAAGCUAAUGAGAAUUCUUCUGAUUCAAACAUUGGUUAACACUAUAAACAAUACUAGCUACAAACUUGUAGGUAAAAAAAUUCUUUAAUUCUUUAUCUUGUUAUUGUAUGUAUACAAAAAUAUACAAGAACAAUCUCAUCCUCACAGGUCCUUGAACACAUGAUAAGAUUUUUUUCUUUUUUCUUUUUUUGAUAAGCAACUCAUAAUAAAAAUUACUCCCUCGAAGCGUGAAUGUCAAUGCGAAUGCCAAUAGGGAGGAGGGAGUGUGUGUGUUGUUGGUCUUGAACAGGUUCAGAUAGAAGGCAUAUCUCGAAAUUGUGCUUCUAUUAAACUCUUGUGGCUUCGGCGUCUAACCCUUUUCUAUUUAGAUGGUCAGAUUCUCUUGAAUGG
RNAcentral lists this unclassified non-coding RNA (4597 nucleotides) under Hevea brasiliensis (rubber tree). The record is from RNAcentral. Lineage: Eukaryota; Viridiplantae; Streptophyta; Magnoliopsida; Malpighiales; Euphorbiaceae.